ACCUCACCUGUAGUUCAAGAGUU
This 23-nucleotide non-coding RNA is filed under the name Cricetulus griseus (Chinese hamster). The record is from RNAcentral. Lineage: Eukaryota; Metazoa; Chordata; Mammalia; Rodentia; Cricetidae.